This 903-nucleotide ribosomal RNA is filed under the name uncultured Anaerofilum sp. RNAcentral's name for it is "bacterial SSU rRNA". It matches the Rfam family "Bacterial small subunit ribosomal RNA", at positions 644 to 1533 of the family's 1533-position model. The record is from RNAcentral. Lineage: Bacteria; Bacillati; Bacillota; Clostridia; Eubacteriales; Oscillospiraceae.
GAGUAAUGCAGAGGUAGGCGGAAUUCCCGGUGUAGCGGUGGAAUGCGUAGAUAUCGGGAGGAACACCAGUGGCGAAGGCGGCCUACUGGGCAUCAACUGACGCUGAGGCUCGAAAGCAUGGGUAGCAAACAGGAUUAGAUACCCUGGUAGUCCAUGCUGUAAACGAUGAUUACUAGGUGUGGGAAGAUUGACCCUUUCCGUGCCGCAGUUAACACAAUAAGUAAUCCACCUGGGGAGUACGACCGCAAGGUUGAAACUCAAAGGAAUUGACGGGGGCCCGCACAAGCAGUGGAGUAUGUGGUUUAAUUCGAAGCAACGCGAAGAACCUUACCAGGUCUUGACAUCCAACGACCGCCUAAGAGAUUAGGCUUUCCUUCGGGACGUUGAGACAGGUGGUGCAUGGUUGUCGUCAGCUCGUGUCGUGAGAUGUUGGGUUAAGUCCCGCAACGAGCGCAACCCUUAUUACUAGUUACUACGCAAGAGGACUCUAGUGAGACUGCCGUUGACAAAACGGAGGAAGGUGGGGAUGACGUCAAAUCAUCAUGCCCUUUAUGACCUGGGCUACACACGUACUACAAUGGCUAUUAACAGAGAGAAGCGAGACCGCAAGGUGGAGCAAACCUCAGAAAAAUAGUCUCAGUCCGGAUUGGGGGCUGCAACCCGCCCCCAUGAAGCCGGAAUUGCUAGUAAUCGCGGAUCAGCAUGCCGCGGUGAAUACGUUCCCGGGCCUUGUACACACCGCCCGUCACACCAUGAGAGCCGGGGGGACCCGAAGUCGGUAGUCUAACCGCAAGGAGGACGCCGCCGAAGGUAAAACUGGUGAUUGGGGUGAAGUCGUAACAAGGUAACCGUAAAGGGCGAAUUCGGAGCCUGCUUUUGUACAAAGUGCCGCAACAGUNGNNU